This 253-nucleotide ribosomal RNA is filed under the name uncultured bacterium. RNAcentral describes it as "partial 16S ribosomal RNA". It matches the Rfam family "Bacterial small subunit ribosomal RNA", at positions 524 to 776 of the family's 1533-position model. The record is from RNAcentral.
UACGGGGGGGGCAAGCGUUGUUCGGAAUUACUGGGCGUAAAGGGCUCGUAGGUGGCCAACUAAGUCAUACGUGAAAUCCCUCGGCUUAACCGGGGAACUGCGUCUGAUACUGGAUGGCUUGAGUUUGGGAGAGGGAUGCGGAAUUCUAGGUGUAGCGGUGAAAUGCGUAGAUAUCUGGAGGAACACCGGUGGCGAAGGCGGCAUCCUGGACCAAUACUGACACUGAGGAGCGAAAGCCAGGGGAGCAAACGGG